Molecule: long non-coding RNA, 369 nt
Filed under: Malus domestica (apple)
Lineage: Eukaryota; Viridiplantae; Streptophyta; Magnoliopsida; Rosales; Rosaceae
Description: long non-coding RNA (MDOM_LNC006362)
Source: RNAcentral
AGUGGGUGCUGAGAGGUACCGACCCUACCACUACCACUGCUGCUGUUAACCCGCCACCAAGAGUCUACCCGAACAACCCGAAUGUCAAUGCCAACCAGCCUAAUCCAAGAUUCAAUCCAAACAACCCGAACGGCAAUGUUAGCCAGCCUAAUCCAAGAUUUAAUCCAAGCAACCUGAAUGGCAAUCUCAGCCAGCCUAAUCCAAGAUUCAAUCCUAACAACCUGAAUGGGAAUGCUGGCCUGCCUAAUCAUAGCUCUGUUCCACCAUCAGAGAUUCGGCCACACAGAGGAGGAAAUAAUGGCGUUAUUAAAGGCCAUAUGGGCCAGUCAGUGAACCAUAGAAGGGAGAGGGGAAGGAGUGAGAAUCAGG